This 163-nucleotide ribosomal RNA is filed under the name uncultured bacterium. RNAcentral describes it as "partial 16S ribosomal RNA". It matches the Rfam family "Bacterial small subunit ribosomal RNA", at positions 373 to 527 of the family's 1533-position model. The record is from RNAcentral.
GGGACGCAAGCCUGAUGCAGCCAUGCCGCGUGUAUGAAGAAGGCCUUAGGGUUGUAAAGUACUUUCAGCGGGGAGGAAGGUGAUAAGGUUAAUACCCUUGUCAAUUGACGUUACCCGCAGAAGAAGCACCGGCUAACUCCGUGCCAGCAGCCGCGGUAAUACA